Molecule: ribosomal RNA, 428 nt
Filed under: uncultured archaeon
Lineage: Archaea
Description: bacterial SSU rRNA
Rfam family: Archaeal small subunit ribosomal RNA
Source: RNAcentral
UACCAGCUCUCCGAGUGGUGUGGAUGUUUAUUGGGCCUAGAGCAUCCGUAGCUGGCUGGGCAAGUCCCCUGUUAAAUCCACUGAUUUAAUCAUUGGAGUGCGGGGGAUACUGCUCGGCUGGGGGACGGGAGAGGCAGACGGUAUUUUCGGGGUAGGGGUGAAAUCCUAUAAUCCCGGGAAGACCACCAGUGGCGAAGGCUGUCUGCUAGAACGCGCCCGACGGUGAGGGAUGAAAGCUGGGGGAGCGAACCGGAUUAGAUACCCGGGUAGUCCCAGCUGUAAACGAUGCAGGCUAGGUGUUGGGGCGGCCACGUGCCGCUCUAGUGCCGCAGGGAAGCCGUUAAGCCUGCCGCCUGGGGAGUACGGCCGCAAGGCUGAAACUUAAAGGAAUUGGCGGGGAGCACCACAAGGGGUGAAGCUUGCGGUUU